GCACGUGUAACUUAAUUGGAAAAGUAUAGACCUUCUAAGUCUAACAAUAAUGGUUCAAAUCCAUUCAUGUGCU
RNAcentral lists this transfer RNA (73 nucleotides) under Linnemannia gamsii. RNAcentral describes it as "Mortierella gamsii tRNA". It matches the Rfam family "tRNA". From Rfam's summary of the family: Transfer RNA (tRNA) molecules are approximately 80 nucleotides in length. Their secondary structure includes four short double-helical elements and three loops (D, anti-codon, and T loops). Further hydrogen bonds mediate the characteristic L-shaped molecular structure. tRNAs have two regions of fundamental functional importance: the anti-codon, which is responsible for specific mRNA codon recognition, and the 3' end, to which the tRNAs corresponding amino acid is attached (by aminoacyl-tRNA synthetases). tRNAs cope with the degeneracy of the genetic code in two manners: having more than one tRNA (with a specific anti-codon) for a particular amino acid; and 'wobble' base-pairing, i.e. permitting non-standard base-pairing at the 3rd anti-codon position. The record is from Rfam by way of RNAcentral. RNAcentral also lists the same sequence under 6 other names. Lineage: Eukaryota; Fungi; Mortierellomycota; Mortierellomycetes; Mortierellales; Mortierellaceae.